GCAGGCGCACUACGAGAUCAAGUGUGGGAGUGUGUGUUUGUUUGUGUGUCGUAGAGAGGCAGGGGGAGAGAGUCACUGGAUAACCACUGUAUAGUGUAGGUAACAGAGUAAUCUGUAUGAGCACUGAGGAAUAACUGGAGAGUUGCUGCUCAGAGGAGUUGGAGGAAAAGUCUUGUUGAGAAGGAUUUAGUAUUGGAGGAAGGUUAAAGGGACAGGGAGAAGCCCCCACUCAUCUUCAUCUAAGAGGAGGAGGUAAACUGGCGAUAAGCAAAUAUUAAUGACCUGACAAGAAGUCACAUGCAUCCGUGUUCAUCAGGCAGCUUUACCUAGGGAGCCACACAUCAGAGGAGCCUGGAUGGUAUACACAUGCGCUUUCCAUUCACUCAUCACUCCUGCCGUACACACACACACACACACACACACCAGGGCCACGCUGACACAGCCGAGUGGAGGAGAGAAGAGGACACUUUUACUGUCUGGGGUCCUUUUCCUUUCUUAAAAUAAAAGGGAUUAGUGGAUUUUUGACCCUGAAAUCAGAGUCUUCCAUUUGAGCUGACCUUUUCAAACCCCCCCAAGGAGCAAAGAUGAGCUGCAGGAAAAGGUGCAAGCGGGAGAUCUUCAAGUUCGCACAGUACCUGUUCAGACUCAUCACAGGCACGCUCAACGACGACAGCGUUGAGGAUGAGCUUGAACUGUCUACGGUCCGCCAUCGCCCCGAGGGCCUGCAGCAGCUUGAAGCUCAGACGCGUUUCUCCCGCAAGGAACUACAGAUCCUUUACCGUGGCUUCAAGAAUGAAUGCCCCAGUGGAGUCGUCAAUGAAGAAACUUUCAAAGACAUCUACUCACAGUUCUUCCCACAAGGAGAUGCGUCGACAUAUGCACAUUUCCUCUUCAAUGCCUUUGAUACAGAUCACAAUGGCUCUGUAAGUUUUGAGGAUUUUGUGAUGGGCCUUUCUAUCCUCUUGCGAGGCACAAUCCAGGAAAAACUCAACUGGGCUUUCAACCUGUACGAUAUCAAUAAAGACGGAUAUAUCACUAAAGAGGAAAUGCUGGACAUCAUGAAGGCCAUCUACGACAUGAUGGGGAAAUGCACUUACCCUGCCCUCAGGGAGGAGACGCCUCGUCAACAUGUGGAAGUCUUCUUUCAGGCGAGUCUGACGUGGGCGGCGUUCACAUCUCUGUCCAGAUACAUUUACCGGUCACAGCAAAAAGGCUUAAGCAGUGUUUUUUUGUUUGUCCUUCUUUCUCCUCUCCUCCCCGUGUCUCCAACAGAAGAUGGAUAAGAAUAAAGACGGAGUGGUAACCAUAGACGAGUUCAUCGACUGCUGCCAAAAUGAUGAAAACAUCAUGAGAUCAAUGCAACUCUUUGAGAGUGUCCUUUAACUUUUGACCGAGUGGAGUCUUUGGAAGAGAACGUCAACUUAAGCUCGGCCCAAUAACUGACUUGGACUCGUACUGUGUACAGUGUGCUAUGCAGACUUUUGAUCGUAGGUUAAUAUAUUGUUCAUGACCACAGGUUGGAGAAGGCAGCAUGGGGUGAACACUCUGGAAUUAGUCGCGUUUUAAACAUUUUAUUGAGGGAUUUCUGACCAAGAAAUGAAUAGAAAGGACAGAACAACUCUCUCUGCAGCUGUUAAUGUUUGCUUCUUUUUAUUUAUUUAUGAAAACAUCUUAACUUCAAGGUUCACGUGCAGCAAAUGUCCCGGGAGUGUUUUUCUGUUUCUCUGUUCGCCAUCACUGUUCUAAACACACUUGAAAUGGGAGUUUUUCCUGAUGAAACGGUUACAGCUUCGACCUGUUUUAUGUACUGCCAAGUGAAAUCACUGUGACUUUUACAGCACUGAAAAAAACAAGAGGGGAAGAAAAGGGAAAAAAAAAAAGGUAACUUCAUAUAUUGGUCUGUGUUUUUACAUUCCAGCCUGGCUCUUGAUUCCAGAGUGUUCAAACCAGAAGCAUUUGGAGAAGAAAAUAUAGAUCAACAAAACACACAUUGCACCAUUUUAAAUUGUAUAUACUUAGGGUAGGUAAAAAAAAAAGAUAAUAGAUACGAACUUUUCAACUUUGUUUACUUGCCAACUAGAAUUGAGACAACACAAUGACUGUAUUGAUGUCAAAAUCAGACCAUAGUAUGGAUGGUUUGUCUACAGAAGCACACAGGUAGCUACAUUUACCACAAGUACAACGUUAGCCGAGACCUUCGUUCGACAGUAAUUGCUGCUUUCAGUGUAUUUUAUUUAACCCCCACAUGUGUAUAUUAUCUGUAAAUGAAACCAUCUGUCAUUGUUUUUAGUUUUUGAAGCACUGUGGCGUUUCCGGGUAGAGCAGUGUUUAAAGUUAUUUAUAUGGUGUUAUGUUCCUUGUACAAAACAUUGUCAGUUGUACAGUAUUAAAAUGAAAGUUCACUCUCUGGUGAAUAUCAGGUCUUUAGACGUGUUCAUAUAAUUCACUGUUUUUAUUAAGAGAGGGCAGUGUGUUCGUUGAUAUAGACUUUGUAUUAUACUGUACUUAUCAUUUUUUGGGUUUCUCAGCUACCACACCUCCUGCUGUUUCCCUCUUCCUCCUCCUCAUCAUCAUGUGGGCUGACGUCCAGCUGCCCACACCUGUUUAGCCUGAUUGAUUCCUGGUGUCUCUGAUUAAAGCAUUGAUUCAUCACAUAUGUGAGCAAACACAAGGCAUCCUGGGUACAAGUCUUACUCAACCGACUGCAGCUCGCUCAUUGGAACCUGCCGGAUCACUGAGACAAGUGUCUGGAUGUUAUGUAAGUAAGUUAAUGAGAGUUGAACACUUUAUUUUUUUCUGUUUCUGGAUGUCGGGCAUAGGGUGUAGCCGUUGAAGAAGCCGGAAAAUCUGACUUAUACUUGAUCAUUGAUUUAUAAAUAAUGGGUGUUUUGAUGCAUUGACAGUUAAUCAUGUUAUAUUUUUUUUAUACAUAGUGUUGAUACAAAAUGUCACAAACAAAGUGAGGCAUGCUGGCACACUCCACCUGUUUUAAUUUUAGUCCUUAUAAUGUGUAUAUUUCAAUGAAAGAGACAUUUUUGCAUCUGUGUUUGUGUGCCUUGCUGUAUGUUCAUAUUUGAUUGACAAAAUCAGCUUUUAAUUUUCAGUGUGUCUUUGAACGAGCUGAUGCGUUGAAACAGGAAGAACAAAUGCAGAUAAGUCACUUUAGAACAUCCCGGUAGAAGCGACAUCUAUUUUUAUUUUUUUGAAAAUAUCAAGGAAUUUUUACUUUUAUUUUCUCUUUCUGUAAAUAUUAUUCAAAGCAUCGAAAGUCUUUUUGAGAAUGAGAAAAUCAAGUUGCACCACACGCUUAUAGGUUUGUGUUGCCUUAGAUUUAGAAUAUUUUUAUUACAGGUGAAUGACUCGUGAAUGAUCUACGAGUAGACUUAAUAAAACAUCUGUUCAAUCAUA
Solea solea (common sole) is the source of this 3408-nucleotide RNA transcript. It is a transcript of the gene named potassium voltage-gated channel interacting protein 4a, with no coding region annotated. The transcript has 7 exons. The record is from RefSeq and is a predicted model, not a curated record. Lineage: Eukaryota; Metazoa; Chordata; Actinopteri; Pleuronectiformes; Soleidae.